Molecule: long non-coding RNA, 1362 nt
Filed under: Fukomys damarensis (Damara mole-rat)
Lineage: Eukaryota; Metazoa; Chordata; Mammalia; Rodentia; Bathyergidae
Description: lncRNA (ENSFDAG00000030444.1)
Source: RNAcentral
GUGAUUAAUUCAGAUAGAACACGUUUACAACCUCUCCUUGCCUUCACGGGAUCACUGCAGACAGUUUCUGAGGCUGAGAGCUGAAGACUGCCUUUCCCUAAUCUCAUUCUGAAUUUUUCAGCGGCUGUCAGACCCUCCAGGGUCAGGACAAGAAUCCAUCUGUUACACCAAGAACAGAUGUCGUGACCCAUGAGUCACGUAUUUUCUGUUCUUGCUCAGAAGGUCUCAGUCCCUGUAGCAGAUUCUCACUCUCACUUGUCACUCAAAGCAACCCAAACCCAUCUCCCUUCCUGAGCCUGGCUCCAGAUUCCCUUGGCAGCCAGCUGGGCUCCUUCCUCCAAGGGCCCCCUCUCUGCCUGCCCGGCCUGCCUCCUCACCCUGCAGGACCUGGGAGCGCUUGGACCCAUUCCCACUGUCUCCCAGCACCACGCUUACUCCUGGUGCACCAGCCCACCUUUGCUAUGUGGUAGAGAAAGGCUCCAUCCGUGGGGCCUACCUUCAGGCUGUGCAGCUGGUGCUGCCAGAGGGACGGUUGGGUGAGGGCGACACACCUGAAACAUAGAUGUACUUCUGAGUCAGCAGCUUGGGGAGCUGAAGGAAGGAGCCUGGGGGGCCGGAGUUCUGGAUGGAAAAAGCACCCGGCCCAUCCCUGGGUAAGGUCCAGCUGUGAGCAGGAUAGUUAAAACUCCUGCCCUUACCAAGGGGCAUGGAUGUGGACCCUACAACCCUUUGGCCCGACCCUUACCCAUGGCCGGCCCUGAGCAAUUCCUCCUCUAUGUUGCCCACGACCUCCAGGGUCAAGCGUGGGGCACCCAGAGAUGUCACCAGGAUGCCACUUGGAGGAGUGCUUGCUUUGCCCAAGGGCCGGAGAGGUUGUGAAAGGCGGGAGGCAGGAGCGACAGGAGGAACCACACUGCUUCCCUGAACUCAGGGAGGCCAAGGGCAGGGUGUCACCUUGUCCACCUUUAGACCCCAGGGUCGGCCACGGGGCCACCGUGCAAACCGCAGCACAGUGCCUUACAAACAUCACCUUUCCCCACAGGCAAACCAGCAAGUCAGGGCUCCUGUCUUUGUGCAGGCUGCUAAACCGAGGCCGAGAGCUUUGUGGCGGUGCCGGCAGCUGCCAGGUGAGUGAUGGCGCUGGGACUGGACGGAGGCACUGUGGAGGCCGAGACCUUCCCUUCUGGACACCCGACUAGGAGGCUUGGGGAGCCAGGCUGGUUUUCAGGGACUCGGUAAUGGUGCAGAAGGCGGCAGGCGCCCAGGUGACCUCUCACUGUGCUCAGGAGCUGAAGUCCGGGAGAGGGGCGGAGAGGGCCGCGGGAGCCAGCAGGCCCGGGGGCGGUGGGCCGGGGCGUUCCG